Molecule: ribosomal RNA, 427 nt
Filed under: uncultured Paraburkholderia sp.
Lineage: Bacteria; Pseudomonadati; Pseudomonadota; Betaproteobacteria; Burkholderiales; Burkholderiaceae
Description: bacterial SSU rRNA
Rfam family: Bacterial small subunit ribosomal RNA
Source: RNAcentral
UGGGGAAUUUUGGACAAUGGGCGCAAGCCUGAUCCAGCAAUGCCGCGUGUGUGAAGAAGGCCUUCGGGUUGUAAAGCACUUUUGUCCGGAAAGAAAACCGUCUGGCUAAUAUCCGGGCGGGAUGACGGUACCGGAAGAAUAAGCACCGGCUAACUACGUGCCAGCAGCCGCGGUAAUACGUAGGGUGCAAGCGUUAAUCGGAAUUACUGGGCGUAAAGCGUGCGCAGGCGGUUCGCUAAGACAGAUGUGAAAUCCCCGGGCUUAACCUGGGAACUGCAUUUGUGACUGGCGGGCUAGAGUAUGGCAGAGGGGGGUAGAAUUCCACGUGUAGCAGUGAAAUGCGUAGAGAUGUGGAGGAAUACCGAUGGCGAAGGCAGCCCCCUGGGCCAAUACUGACGCUCAUGCACGAAAGCGUGGGGAGCAAACA